Molecule: ribosomal RNA, 509 nt
Filed under: Pichia kudriavzevii
Lineage: Eukaryota; Fungi; Ascomycota; Pichiomycetes; Pichiales; Pichiaceae
Description: eukaryotic LSU rRNA
Rfam family: 5.8S ribosomal RNA (bases 134-286)
Source: RNAcentral
UCCGUAGGUGAACCUGCGGAAGGAUCAUUACUGUGAUUUAGUACUACACUGCGUGAGCGGAACGAAAACAAAAACACCUAAAAUGUGGAAUAUAGCAUAUAGUCGACAAGAGAAAUCUACGAAAAACAAACAAAACUUUCAACAACGGAUCUCUUGGUUCUCGCAUCGAUGAAGAGCGCAGCGAAAUGCGAUACCUAGUGUGAAUUGCAGCCAUCGUGAAUCAUCGAGUUCUUGAACGCACAUUGCGCCCCUCGGCAUUCCGGGGGGCAUGCCUGUUUGAGCGUCGUUUCCAUCUUGCGCGUGCGCAGAGUUGGGGGAGCGGAGCGGACGACGUGUAAAGAGCGUCGGAGCUGCGACUCGCCUGAAAGGGAGCGAAGCUGGCCGAGCGAACUAGACUUUUUUUCAGGGACGCUUGGCGGCCGAGAGCGAGUGUUGCGAGACAACAAAAAGCUCGACCUCAAAUCAGGUAGGAAUACCCGCUGAACUUAAGCAUAUCAAUAAGCGGAGGA